RNAcentral lists this ribosomal RNA (703 nucleotides) under uncultured bacterium. Its description in RNAcentral is "bacterial SSU rRNA". It matches the Rfam family "Bacterial small subunit ribosomal RNA", at positions 111 to 791 of the family's 1533-position model. The record is from RNAcentral.
UAACGCGUAAUCAACCUGCCCUUCAGAGGGGGACAACAGUUGGAAACGACUGCUAAUACCGCAUACGAUCCAAUCUCGGCAUCGAGACUGGAUGAAAGGUGGCCUCUAUUUAUAAGCUAUCACUGAAGGAGGGGAUUGCGUCUGAUUAGCUAGUUGGAGGGGUAACGGCCCACCAAGGCGAUGAUCAGUAGCCGGUCUGAGAGGGUGAACGGCCACAUUGGGACUGAGACACGGCCCAGACUCCUACGGGAGGCAGCAGUGGGGAAUCUUCCGCAAUGGACGAAAGUCUGACGGAGCAACGCCGCGUGAGUGAUGACGGCCUUCGGGUUGUAAAGCUCUGUUAAUCGGGACGAAUGGUUCUUGUGCGAAUAGUGCGAGGAUUUGACGGUACCGGAAUAGAAAGCCACGGCUAACUACGUGCCAGCAGCCGCGGUAAUACGUAGGUGGCAAGCGUUGUCCGGAAUUAUUGGGCGUAAAGCGCGCGCAGGCGGAUUGGUCAGUCUGUCUUAAAAGUUCGGGGCUUAACCCCGUGAUGGGAUGGAAACUGCCAAUCUAGAGUAUCGGAGAGGAAAGUGGAAUUCCUAGUGUAGCGGUGAAAUGCGUAGAUAUUAGGAAGAACACCAGUGGCGAAGGCGACUUUCUGGACGAAAACUGACGCUGAGGCGCGAAAGCCAGGGGUGCGAACGGGAUUAGAUACCCCGGU